Molecule: unclassified non-coding RNA, 336 nt
Filed under: soil metagenome
Description: partial contains 5.8S ribosomal RNA, internal transcribed spacer 2, and large subunit ribosomal RNA
Rfam family: 5.8S ribosomal RNA (bases 1-120)
Source: RNAcentral
GAUGAAGAACGUAGCGAAAUGCGAUAAGUAGUGUGAAUUGCAGAAUUCAGUGAAUCAUCGAAUCUUUGAACGCACAUUGCGCCCCUUGGUAUUCCAUGGGGCAUGCCUGUUCGAGCGUCAUUUGUACCUUCAAGCUUUGCUUGGUGUUGGGUGUUUGUCUCGCCUUUGCGUGUAGACUCGCCUUAAAAUAAUUGGCAGCCGGCGUAUUGAUUUCGGAGCGCAGUACAUCUCGCGCUUUGCACUCAUAACGACAGCGUCCAAAAGUACACUUUACACUCUUGACCUCGGAUCAGGUAGGGAUACCCGCUGAACUUAAGCAUAUCAAUAAGCGGAGGA